UCUCCGUUGGUGACCAGCGGAGGGAUCAUUACCGAGUUUACAACUCCCAAACCCAAUGUGAACCAUACCAAACUGUUGCCUCGGCGGGGUCACGCCCCGGGUGCGUCGCAGCCCCGGAACCAGGCGCCCGCCGGAGGGACCAACCAAACUCUUUACUGUAGUCCCCUCGCGGACGUUAUUUCUUACAGCUCUGAGCAAAAAAUUCAAAAUGAAUCAAAACUUUCAACAACGGAUCUCUUGGUUCUGGCAUCGAUGAAGAACGCAGCGAAAUGCGAUAAGUAAUGUGAAUUGCAGAAUUCAGUGAAUCAUCGAAUCUUUGAACGCACAUUGCGCCCGCCAGUAUUCUGGCGGGCAUGCCUGUCCGAGCGUCAUUUCAACCCUCGAACCCCUCCGGGGGGUCGGCGUUGGGGAUCGGGAACCCCUCAGACGGGAUCCCGGCCCCGAAAUACAGUGGCGGUCUCGCCGCAGCCUCUCCUGCGCAGUAGUUUGCACAACUCGCACCGGGAGCGCGGCGCGUCCACGUCCGUAAAACACCCAACUUUCUGAAAUGUUGACCUCGGAUCAGGUAGGAAUACCCGCUGAACUUAAGCAUAUCA
This 596-nucleotide ribosomal RNA is filed under the name Trichoderma erinaceum. RNAcentral's name for it is "eukaryotic LSU rRNA". The stretch from base 218 to 371 matches the Rfam family "5.8S ribosomal RNA". The record is from RNAcentral. Lineage: Eukaryota; Fungi; Ascomycota; Sordariomycetes; Hypocreales; Hypocreaceae.